CGGAAUAUAGCUUAAUAAAAGCAUCUCGCUUACACCGAAAAGAUAUCUGCUAACACCA
This 58-nucleotide transfer RNA is filed under the name Thoropa miliaris (rock river frog). Its description in RNAcentral is "partial tRNA-Val". The record is from RNAcentral. Lineage: Eukaryota; Metazoa; Chordata; Amphibia; Anura; Cycloramphidae.